RNAcentral lists this small nuclear RNA (303 nucleotides) under Mus pahari (shrew mouse). RNAcentral describes it as "sRNA (MGP_PahariEiJ_G0008335.1)". It matches the Rfam family "7SK RNA". From Rfam's summary of the family: 7SK was discovered as an abundant small nuclear RNA in the mid-70s but a possible function has only recently been suggested. The record is from RNAcentral. Lineage: Eukaryota; Metazoa; Chordata; Mammalia; Rodentia; Muridae.
GGACGUGAAGGUGACCUGGAUGUGACACCACCGAUUGUCAGGAUUGAUUCAGCUGAUUGGAAUGGCUAGGCCAUUGUCCCCCUCCUCCCUUACCGCUGCAUGUGUCUACCUUCCAAAGCUUCAUGCUGGGCUAAAGAGGAUGACUUUUCAUGAAUAGAGGGAGGACCAGUGUUUGGUCAAGGGAAUAUGAACAGCUUCACUCUCCCACUAGAACCUCCAAACAAGCUCUCAGAUAAGGGCAGUUUAGGUGUUAACCAACUAGGUAUUGAUUGGUUGUCCAGUCUAUGUAUGACUUGGAAAGCU